This 66-nucleotide transfer RNA is filed under the name Californiconus californicus. RNAcentral's name for it is "tRNA-Gly". Lineage: Eukaryota; Metazoa; Mollusca; Gastropoda; Neogastropoda; Conidae. The record is from RNAcentral.
AUCUUCUGAGUAUGAUAAGUACGCUCGCCUUCCAAGCAAGAAGUUUAAAAAAUUUUAAAGAAGAUA